GCUGAAGCCAGUCGAAGAUACCAGCUGGCUGCAACUGUUUAUUAAAAACACAGCACUGUGCAAACACGAAAGUGGACGUAUACGGUGUGACGCCUGCCCGGUGCUGGAAGGUUAAUUGAUGGGGUCAGCCGCAAGGCGAAGCUCCUGAUCGAAGCCCCAGUAAACGGCGGCCGUAACUAUAACGGUCCUAAGGUAGCGAAAUUCCUUGUCGGGUAAGUUCCGACCUGCACGAAUGGCGUAAUGAUGGCCAGGC
Molecule: ribosomal RNA, 253 nt
Filed under: Proteus mirabilis
Lineage: Bacteria; Pseudomonadati; Pseudomonadota; Gammaproteobacteria; Enterobacterales; Morganellaceae
Description: partial 23S ribosomal RNA
Rfam family: Bacterial large subunit ribosomal RNA
Source: RNAcentral